This 468-nucleotide ribosomal RNA is filed under the name uncultured bacterium. RNAcentral's name for it is "partial 16S ribosomal RNA". It matches the Rfam family "Bacterial small subunit ribosomal RNA", at positions 28 to 507 of the family's 1533-position model. The record is from RNAcentral.
GACGAACGCUGGCGGCGUGCUUAACACAUGCAAGUCGAACGGAAAGGCCCUGCUUUUGUGGGGUGCUCGAGUGGCGAACGGGUGAGUAACACGUGAGUAACCUGCCCUUGACUUUGGGAUAACUUCAGGAAACUGGGGCUAAUACCGGAUAGGAGCUCCUGCUGCAUGGUGGGGGUUGGAAAGUUUCGGCGGUUGGGGAUGGACUCGCGGCUUAUCAGCCUGUUGGUGGGGUAGUGGCUUACCAAGGCUUUGACGGGUAGCCGGCCUGAGAGGGUGACCGGCCACAUUGGGACUGAGAUACGGCCCAGACUCCUACGGGAGGCAGCAGUGGGGAAUAUUGCACAAUGGGCGGAAGCCUGAUGCAGCAACGCCGCGUGCGGGAUGACGGCCUUCGGGUUGUAAACCGCUUUCGCCUGUGACGAAGCGUGAGUGACGGUAAUGGGUAAAGAAGCACCAGCUAACUACGUG